GCCCCAGUAGCUCAGUGGAUUAGAGCAUCUGACUUCGGAUCAGAGGGUCGUGGGUUCGAAUCCUACCUGGGGUA
Molecule: transfer RNA, 74 nt
Filed under: Caldilineaceae bacterium
Lineage: Bacteria; Bacillati; Chloroflexota; Caldilineae; Caldilineales; Caldilineaceae
Description: tRNA-Arg
Rfam family: tRNA
About the family: Transfer RNA (tRNA) molecules are approximately 80 nucleotides in length. Their secondary structure includes four short double-helical elements and three loops (D, anti-codon, and T loops).
Source: RNAcentral